CUGCAAGCCUCGCAUUUGCAGCUGCUGAGGACAGAUGGGAAAGAGUGAUCAGGUGCUUUGAGGAGGGACUGACGCUGCUUGGGGAAAGUGGUGAAUGUGCCAGAAGACUACAGUGUGCUGCUUCCAGGGAGUCUGAAGGGAGAUGGCCCGUUGGAGAGUCACUGAAGGCUGGCGGGUUGCAGUGCUGUGUUGGGAAUGACUGCAAGAAAAGAAAGACAAAACAAACACAGGUCAUUCAUUUAAAAUAUCUUUGCACAUUCUAAUCAGGCCUAUGGUCAAAAAAACAAUCAAUCUUAGAAGAAAUACAGGAGUGAUUAAACAACUGUUCUUUGCUGAUAAAUAGAAUCAUCCACCAAAAUAAAACACUCUACCAGUGCUGAGCAAUACUCACGGCACUAAACGCAUUUGACUGACUAACUGAAAGGAAGCGCAGCAUUCAAGAGCCGGACCAUGGAGCCAGACUGCUGCUGCUAAGUCGUCCCUGGGAUUCUCCAGGCAAGAACACUGGAGUGGGUUGCCAUUUCCUUCUCCAAUGCAUGAAAGUGACAAGUGAAAGGGAAGUCGCUCAGUCAUGUCUGACUCUUCGUGACCCCAUGGACUGCAGCCUACCAGGCUCCUCCGUCCAUGGGAGUUUCCAGGCAAGAGUACUGGAGUGGGGUGCCAUUGUCUUCUCCACCUAGCCAGACUGAGCUUCUUAAAGUUCUCUGUAAUAGUAUGUUCCUCAUAGGGUAGUUAUAAACAUACUUUUUAGAACAGUGCCUGUUACAUGGUAAAAGCUACAUAAAAGUAUUAAAUAAACCAAUAUGAUUUAGCAGAAUGUCUACUUUGAGAUGUUUCAUAC
This is a long non-coding RNA of Bubalus bubalis (water buffalo), 841 nucleotides long. RefSeq lists it as uncharacterized. The record is from RefSeq and is a predicted model, not a curated record. The transcript has 3 exons. Lineage: Eukaryota; Metazoa; Chordata; Mammalia; Artiodactyla; Bovidae.